Molecule: long non-coding RNA, 421 nt
Filed under: Homo sapiens (human)
Lineage: Eukaryota; Metazoa; Chordata; Mammalia; Primates; Hominidae
Description: HSALNT0051864
Source: RNAcentral
CGAAUAAGGUGUGGGUCACAGAGAUCACAUGCUUCACAAGGCAAUAAAAUAUCACAAGGCAAAUGGGGGCAGAACGAGAUCACAGGACCUGGGUGAAAUUAAAAUUGCUAAUGAAGUUUUGGGCAUGCAUUGUCAUUGAUAACAUCUUAUCAGGAGACAGGGUUUGAGAGCAGACAACAGGUCUAAAAUUUACUAGGCGGGAAUUUCCUCAUCCUAAAAGGCCUGGGGGUGCUACAGGAGACUGGGGCUUAUUUCAUCCCUUAUGUGCAACCGUACAAGAGACAUUCCCAGAGAGGCCAUUUCAGAGACCUCCCCCUAGGAAUGCAUUCUCUUUCUCAGGGCUGUUCCUUGCUGAGAAAAAGAAUUGAGCGGUAUUUCUCCUAUUUGCUUUUGUAAGAAGAGAAAUAUGGCUCUGUUCCGC